Molecule: ribosomal RNA, 36 nt
Filed under: Rhizoctonia solani
Lineage: Eukaryota; Fungi; Basidiomycota; Agaricomycetes; Cantharellales; Ceratobasidiaceae
Description: partial 28S ribosomal RNA
Source: RNAcentral
CUACCCGCUGAACUUAAGCAUAUCAAUAAGCCGGAG